RNAcentral lists this transfer RNA (75 nucleotides) under Candidatus Orphnella occulta. RNAcentral describes it as "tRNA-Gln". It matches the Rfam family "tRNA". From Rfam's summary of the family: Transfer RNA (tRNA) molecules are approximately 80 nucleotides in length. Their secondary structure includes four short double-helical elements and three loops (D, anti-codon, and T loops). The record is from RNAcentral. Lineage: Bacteria; Pseudomonadati; Candidatus Omnitrophota.
UGCCCCGUGGUAUAAUUGGCAACACGGCUGAUUCUGGUUCAGCUAUUCUUGGUUCGAGUCCAAGCGGGGCAGCCA